AACGUACGCUGGCGGCACGCCUAACACAUGCAAGUCGAACGAAGUAGCAAUACUUAGUGGCAGACGGGUGAGUAACAUGUAGGUAUCUGCCCUUUGGCCUGGAAUAACACGAGGAAACUUGUGCUAAUACCGGAUAAGUCUUUACGGAGAAAGCUUUAUGCACCAUUGGAUGAGCCUGCACUUGAUUAGUUUGUUGGUGGGGUAAUGGCCUACCAAGACUGUGAUCAAUAGCUGAUUUGAGAGGAUGAUCAGCCACAUUGGGACUGAGACACGGCCCAAACUCCUACGGGAGGCAGCAGUGGGGAAUCUUGCACAAUGGAGGAAACUCUGAUGCAGCGAUGCCGCGUGAGUGAAGAAGGCCCUUGGGUUGUAAAGCUCUUUCGUCGGGGAAGAAAAUGACUGUACCCGAAUAAGAAGGUCCGGCUAACUUCGUGCCAGCAGCCGCGGUAAUACGAAGGGACCUAGCGUAGUUCGGAAUUACUGGGCUUAAAGAGUUCGUAGGUGGUUGAAAAAGUUAGUGGUGAAAUCCCAGAGCUUAACUCUGGAACUGCCAUUAAAACUUUUCAGCUAGAGUAUGAUAGAGGAAAGCAGAAUUUCUAGUGUAGAGGUGAAAUUCGUAGAUAUUAGAAAGAAUACCAAUUGCGAAGGCAGCUCUACUGGAUCAUUACUGACACUGA
RNAcentral lists this ribosomal RNA (677 nucleotides) under alpha proteobacterium IMCC14702. Its description in RNAcentral is "bacterial SSU rRNA". It matches the Rfam family "Bacterial small subunit ribosomal RNA", at positions 28 to 749 of the family's 1533-position model. Lineage: Bacteria; Pseudomonadati; Pseudomonadota; Alphaproteobacteria. The record is from RNAcentral.